Molecule: non-coding RNA, 93 nt
Filed under: Azadinium spinosum
Lineage: Eukaryota; Dinophyceae; Gonyaulacales; Amphidomataceae
Source: RNAcentral
AAGCACGGCUUCGCAGCUCGCACACGGGGAGCUUGCUCCCAUUCACGCUGCGGGGAAAGUCCCCGUGCCUUGAGGCAGAGAGUGUCAGCGGGA